Long non-coding RNA from Hyla sarda, 614 nucleotides. RefSeq lists it as uncharacterized. The record is from RefSeq and is a predicted model, not a curated record. The transcript is spliced from 3 exons. Lineage: Eukaryota; Metazoa; Chordata; Amphibia; Anura; Hylidae.
CUGCAUUGCCUCACCUACCUAACUACAAACAGACUUCAGUAGGGUACUUGUUUAUGCCCUCAGCCUACAGUCCUAUGUAGAUAUUAGAGUUGAGUGAGCUUUUCAACUCGCUCGGCUGGCAGAACUUUUCAAAAAAAAGUUUGGUUUGCGGCAAACAGGAAUACUGGUCAGACCUGGCUAAUCGUCAGACUCUUCCUCCACCUGAGAUGACCAAGAAUGAGCCAACCAGUCCACAAUGGCCGUAUUAUGCUCCAAAAUCACACAACAAUUGGAAGACAUGCAUAACUUUUGCUUGCUGAUGCUGCUGUUACUACAUAUCACAAAGACGGAUUAACAAUUUCAUUUUAUUGGAGUUGUUAUGGAUGUGCCAACACCAUAUGUGUAUUUUUUUCUGUCUACACUACACAACUGCAGCAAACAACUUUCACCUUCAUGCCUGCAACCUGUCUGUAUGAAGCUACAAUAAAGAAGCCCCUGAUUGAACAUACCUGGUGUCUUCUUAUAGCUUGUAAUCAAUUCAAGGCUUUUAAAUCCUGGAUAAAUAGUGGAUGGGAAUGGUUGAUCAGGACAGAUGUUUAUGGCUUUCAAGACGGAGCUAUCAUUUGGUUGGAUGC